Molecule: ribosomal RNA, 843 nt
Filed under: Dendryphion nanum
Lineage: Eukaryota; Fungi; Ascomycota; Dothideomycetes; Pleosporales; Torulaceae
Description: LSU rRNA
Rfam family: Eukaryotic large subunit ribosomal RNA
Source: RNAcentral
UUUGAAAUCUGGCCUCUUUGGGGUCCGAGUUGUAAUUUGCAGAGGGUGCUUUUGGUGUUGGCCGUGGUCUAAGUUCCUUGGAACAGGACGUCACAGAGGGUGAGAAUCCCGUACGUGGCCGCCGGCCCUCGCCUUGUAAAGCCCCUUCGACGAGUCGAGUUGUUUGGGAAUGCAGCUCUAAAUGGGAGGUAAAUUUCUUCUAAAGCUAAAUACCCGCCAGAGACCGAUAGCGCACAAGUAGAGUGAUCGAAAGAUGAAAAGCACUUUGGAAAGAGAGUGAAAAAGCACGUGAAAUUGUUGAAAGGGAAGCGCUUGCGGCCAGACGUGCCUGCGGUUGAUCAACUGGGCUUCCGCCCGGUGCACUCCUCCGCGGGCAGGCCAGCAUCAGUUUGGGCGGUCGGACAAAGGUCUCUGUCACGUACCAUCCCUCGGGAUGGCCUUAUAGGGGAGACGCAACACGGCCAGCCUGGACUGAGGUUCCGCGCAUCUGCUAGGAUGCUGGCGUAAUGGCAGCAAGCGGCCCGUCUUGAAACACGGACCAAGGAGUCUAACAUCUAUGCGAGUGUUUGGGUGUCAAGCCCGAGCGCGUAAUGAAAGUGAACGGAGGUGGGAACCCCUCGGGGCGCACCAUCGACCGAUCCUGAUGUCUUCGGAUGGAUUUGAGUAAGAGCAUAGCUGUUGGGACCCGAAAGAUGGUGAACUAUGCCUGAAUAGGGUGAAGCCAGAGGAAACUCUGGUGGAGGCUCGCAGCGGUUCUGACGUGCAAAUCGAUCGUCAAAUUUGGGCAUAGGGGCGAAAGACUAAUCGAACCAUCUAGUAGCUGGUUCCUGCCGAAGUUCCCUC